Molecule: transfer RNA, 48 nt
Filed under: Androsace adfinis subsp. adfinis
Lineage: Eukaryota; Viridiplantae; Streptophyta; Magnoliopsida; Ericales; Primulaceae
Also listed under: 3 other names
Description: partial tRNA-Gly
Rfam family: tRNA
About the family: Transfer RNA (tRNA) molecules are approximately 80 nucleotides in length. Their secondary structure includes four short double-helical elements and three loops (D, anti-codon, and T loops). Further hydrogen bonds mediate the characteristic L-shaped molecular structure. tRNAs have two regions of fundamental functional importance: the anti-codon, which is responsible for specific mRNA codon recognition, and the 3' end, to which the tRNAs corresponding amino acid is attached (by aminoacyl-tRNA synthetases). tRNAs cope with the degeneracy of the genetic code in two manners: having more than one tRNA (with a specific anti-codon) for a particular amino acid; and 'wobble' base-pairing, i.e. permitting non-standard base-pairing at the 3rd anti-codon position.
Source: RNAcentral
CCUUAGCCUUCCAAGCUAACGAUGCGGGUUCGAUUCCCGCUACCCGCU